UGGGGAAUAUUGCACAAUGGGGGAAACCCUGAUGCAGCGACGCCGCGUGAACGAAGAAGGUAUUCGUAUCGUAAAGUUCUGUCCUAUGGGAAGAUAAUGACAGUACCAUAGAAGAAAGCUCCGGCUAAAUACGUGCCAGCAGCCGCGGUAAUACGUAUGGAGCGAGCGUUGUCCGGAAUUAUUGGGCGUAAAGGGUACGCAGGCGGUUUAAUAAGUCGAAUGUUAAAGAUCGGGGCUCAACCCCGUAAAGCAGUGGAAACUGAUAAACUUGAGUAGUGGAGAGGAAAGUGGAAUUCCUAGUGUAGUGGUGAAAUACGUAGAGAUUAGGAGGAAUACCAGUAGCGAAGGCGACUUUCUGGACACAAACUGACGCUGAGGUAAGAAAGCGUGGGGAGCAAACAGG
RNAcentral lists this ribosomal RNA (403 nucleotides) under bacterium. RNAcentral's name for it is "partial 16S ribosomal RNA". It matches the Rfam family "Bacterial small subunit ribosomal RNA", at positions 355 to 776 of the family's 1533-position model. The record is from RNAcentral.